GAUGAACGCUGGCGGCGUGCCUAAUACAUGCAAGUCGAACGAAUCUUCUUCGGAAGAUGAGUGGCGAACGGGUGAGUAAUACAUAGGUAACCUGCCCCUGUGCGGGGGAUAACAGGAGGAAACUCCUGCUAAUACCGCAUAGCCAUGAGCACCGCAUGGAGCUCAUGCCAAAUAUCCUUUCGGGGAUAGCGCAGGGAUGGACCUAUGGCGCAUUAGCUUGUUGGCGGGGCAACGGCCCACCAAGGCAACGAUGCGUAGCCGGCCUGAGAGGGCGGACGGCCACAUUGGGACUGAGACACGGCCCAGACUCCUACGGGAGGCAGCAGUAGGGAAUUUUCGGCAAUGGGGGAAACCCUGACCGAGCAACGCCGCGUGAGCGAAGAAGGCCUUCGGGUCGUAAAGCUCUGUUGUAAAGGAAGAACGGCGCAUACAGGAAAUGGUAUGCG
RNAcentral lists this ribosomal RNA (446 nucleotides) under uncultured bacterium. RNAcentral describes it as "bacterial SSU rRNA". It matches the Rfam family "Bacterial small subunit ribosomal RNA", at positions 28 to 467 of the family's 1533-position model. The record is from RNAcentral.